Mus musculus (house mouse) is the source of this 1118-nucleotide long non-coding RNA. RefSeq annotates it as predicted gene, 36097. NCBI's taxonomy places the organism in Eukaryota, Metazoa, Chordata, Mammalia, Rodentia, Muridae. The record is from RefSeq and is a predicted model, not a curated record. The transcript is spliced from 3 exons.
CCAGGAUGAGCAGGAUAUUGUAAGGUUUGUUGUCAGGGACUUUUACAUAUGCAGCAAUGCAUAGUGACAUAAUCACAUCUUCUGUGAGGAGGUGUAGGGACCCCCCUGUGAUCUUCACCUCCUGGUGUUCAUGACUUUGGAUAAUGGCCUCCAUCUUUGACUGCAGGCAAUGCCUCUGACUCAUUUCUGAUAGACUCUGGCAAAGGGGACAGGAUGCCUCAUUACAUCGGGUUGAGGAGAGUUUGGUUUACGUCCCUCUAGAAAUUCCCCUUGCAGGCCUGAAAAGGGAAGAAGCAUGUUGAACAUUCUAUGUGAUGAGGACAGGAGGCAGGUUUGAGGAACUGUGGAUGGUCACCGCCAACAUCCCAUAAAACCGAAGACCCUGGGUUCUACGACAGCAAGACUUCUGCCUACGUGCUAUACAGGGUAGAGGUGGAUGCCAUCAAGCAAGGUGAAGUUGUCUCUAUCGAAGAGAAGACAGAACAAUGCCCCCUAACAGGCUUUCACAGCAGAGGGCUCCCAAGCCCUUCCUGCCAUCCCUGUGGAGCUCACUGCUAGAAAAUGCACCUACUAUACCAACUACACUUCUUGCCUGCAUCAAUGUCUUUGAGGACUCUUUCCUGCUACUCUGGGACUUCAUCUGAGUUUCCACAAGCCCCAGGACUGGCCCAUGCAAUCGCUUUCCCUAGCUCCUGUCUCUGUGGUCCCAUCUCUGAAGAUACGAAACCACAAGCAGGGCAGCAGGGCCAGCUUCACCACGAGUUCAAGGGCAGCUGGCAGCGCUUCCUCCUCUCUAUACUACAGGGGAUCUGGGUUCUAAGAGGAGGGACAAUGGGCUCACACUGUCUGUUCUGAAGGAGAAGUGGCUCUGUCUCAAGCCAUGGAGACUUUCUCUGAGGCAUGCUUUGGCAAAGCUGCUCCACUCAGAGCCAGGGUGAACUCUGACUGUCCCUAUAGCAUACCAUGGGCCAUUUAAAUCACUUGUAGCAGAGAGAUGGUGCUAGAAUCAUUCUGCACUUCAGAAGGGGGCCUACGGGUGAGAGGGCAUAGAAGGAUCCAGAUAUCUUCCAGCUACUUAACGGUUUAGCAAGAAGGACAAAUGCAACUCCAUCAGGAGA